Long non-coding RNA from Patiria miniata (bat star), 246 nucleotides. RefSeq lists it as uncharacterized. NCBI's taxonomy places the organism in Eukaryota, Metazoa, Echinodermata, Asteroidea, Valvatida, Asterinidae. The record is from RefSeq and is a predicted model, not a curated record. The transcript is spliced from 2 exons.
CUUAGCGAAAGUGGGUAAGGCCAAAAAAAAAAGUCUCCGUUUGCUUGACGAUUAUAAUUAACUGUACUAUAAAAUAUUCAGGGAUUUUCCAAAGAAUUUUGCCCUUUUAAACUUAUGUACGUAUCAUAAGUUUUAUAUUAAUUUAUUGUCUCAGGUGCAUUUUUAUAUCCAAUUUUAAAUGCCUUAUAACUAUGUCUGAUUAAUAAGUGUCUCCCAUUUAAAUUGCCUUUAUGUUUUAAACUUAAA